This 390-nucleotide ribosomal RNA is filed under the name Escherichia coli. Its description in RNAcentral is "partial 23S ribosomal RNA". It matches the Rfam family "Bacterial large subunit ribosomal RNA", at positions 1 to 430 of the family's 2925-position model. Lineage: Bacteria; Pseudomonadati; Pseudomonadota; Gammaproteobacteria; Enterobacterales; Enterobacteriaceae. The record is from RNAcentral.
GGUUAAGCGACUAAGCGUACACGGUGGAUGCCCUGGCAGUCAGAGGCGAUGAAGGACGUGCUAAUCUGCGAUAAGCGUCGGUAAGGUGAUAUGAACCGUUAUAACCGGCGAUUUCCGAAUGGGGAAACCCAGUGUGAUUCGUCACACUAUCAUUAACUGAAUCCAUAGGUUAAUGAGGCGAACCGGGGGAACUGAAACAUCUAAGUACCCCGAGGAAAAGAAAUCAACCGAGAUUCCCCCAGUAGCGGCGAGCGAACGGGGAGGAGCCCAGAGCCUGAAUCAGUGUGUGUGUUAGUGGAAGCGUCUGGAAAGGCGCGCGAUACAGGGUGACAGCCCCGUACACAAAAAUGCACAUGCUGUGAGCUCGAUGAGUAGGGCGGGACACGUGGU